GGGGUUGUGGCGCAGUGGUAGCGCGCCCGCUUUGCAUGGUGGAAUCUUCCAUCGCUCAAGCCUUGCGGAAGGUCUCCGGUUCGAUCCCGGACUUCUCCA
This is a non-coding RNA of Diaporthe sp. PMI_573, 99 nucleotides long. NCBI's taxonomy places the organism in Eukaryota, Fungi, Ascomycota, Sordariomycetes, Diaporthales, Diaporthaceae. The record is from the annotation of a GenBank genome assembly.